Molecule: long non-coding RNA, 703 nt
Filed under: Elaeis guineensis (African oil palm)
Lineage: Eukaryota; Viridiplantae; Streptophyta; Magnoliopsida; Arecales; Arecaceae
Description: long non-coding RNA (EGUI_LNC024318)
Source: RNAcentral
AUCCUUGAAUCGGGCGGAAGAGGAGGCUGCCUCAUCCGACGCUGCUCCUCGCUUUAUUCCGGCCCGACGGCUGCCAAAAAAGCUUAAUCAGCAUGCUGCCAACCUCUCUCCUAUCCACCAGCCUCCGAUCCCGCGAUUAGGGGUCGAACCAUCGGUAAAGACGGGAUCCGGAGGUUCCCCUUUUUUUCAAAAACCUAUAAAAGAUGAUCGCCGGUGGUCAUAACGGGCGGGAAACCGCCUGCAGCCAGCCUCCAACCUUGAUGCUGGCGCAGACGGCGAGCCCCAGCUGGUUUCCUUUUUUUUUUUGGUUGGAUCUCCUUCAAAACAGAUAUAAGGAAGAGGAAGGGUCGGUGUCCGGCGCCGCGGCCCGCUGGGAUUACCGUCGGCCUAUUCCAGACAGCCGCCGGUGACGCCAUCCGGUCAUCAGAUGAGAGGAAGAGGCAGAGGGUACGGCGGCAGGAACCACCGUCCCUUUUUCUUUUCUUCUGCCCCUUUUUCUGAUUUUUCUUUUUUUUCUUGAUUUGAUUUUUCUUCAUGGUGGCGCCGUUGGAUGUCGGCGUCAAAUCCAGUGGCUGAUUGGUCUUUUCAUUUUAUUUUAUCCAUUAUUUUGAUUCUAAUCUUUUCGAAGCUCAGAUCCUGAUUCUAAAGAUGAAAAUUUUCACAAACAUCGCCUGGAAUCCAUAUCCGCUAUAUUAACCAAAUC